Molecule: ribosomal RNA, 571 nt
Filed under: Zenion sp. ASIZP 0910704
Lineage: Eukaryota; Metazoa; Chordata; Actinopteri; Zeiformes; Zenionidae
Description: partial 12S ribosomal RNA
Rfam family: Bacterial large subunit ribosomal RNA (bases 245-571)
Source: RNAcentral
GCAUCUCCCCUACACUGAGAUAAUUGCCCAUGCAAAUUGGGCCAUCCUGACUCCCAGUUGCUAGCCCAACAAACGUUCCUAAAAAUUAAAUAUUUUUAACAACAAAUAAACAAAAACUCCCAAACAAACCAUUUUUCCCCCUAAGUAACUAGGCGAUAGAAAAGGGACCAUUGAGCAAUAGAUGAAGUACCGCAAGGGAACCCUGAAAAAGAAAUGAAACAACUCAACACUACAAGAACCCAAUAGCAGAGACUCCCCUCGUACCUUUUGCAUCAUGAUUUAGCAAGUAAAGCCCAAGCAAAGAGCCCUAUAGUUUGAGACCCCGAAACUUAAGCGAGCUACUCCAAGACAGCCCAACUGGGGCAAACCCGUCCCUGUGGCAAAAGGGUGGGAAGAGCUUCGAGUAGAGGUGACAAACCUACCGAGCAUAGUUAUAGCUGGUUGCCUGAGAAAUGAAUAGAAGUUCAGCCCCCCGGCUUCCUACCCCACCUUAGUACUACUAAAUUACGGCUACAGGAAACCAGAGGAGUUAAUUAAAGGGGGUACAGCUCCUUUUUAACAGAAACACCUU